GACGAACGCUGGCGGCGUGCUUAACACAUGCAAGUCGAGCGGAGCGGCGAACGGGUGAGUAACCCGUGAGUAACUACCCCCCUCUCUGGGAUAACAGUUGGAAACGGCUGCUAAUACCGGAUAGUGGGGGGUGACUCGCGUCCAAUCAGCUUGUUGGUGGGGUAGUGGCAUGCCAAGGCGACGACGGGUAGCCGGCCUGAGAGGGCGACCUGCCACAUUGGGCUGAGAUACGGCCCAAACUCCUACGGGAGGCAGCAGUGGUGAAUAUUGCAGAAUGGGGGAGCCCCUGAUGCAGCAACGCUCGUGCGGGAUGACGGCCUUCGGGUUGUAAACCGCUUUCAGCCAUGACGCGGUAGUGGCAGAAGAAGCACCGGCUAACUACGUGCCAGCAGCCGCGGUAAUAC
This 404-nucleotide ribosomal RNA is filed under the name uncultured bacterium. Its description in RNAcentral is "partial 16S ribosomal RNA". It matches the Rfam family "Bacterial small subunit ribosomal RNA", at positions 28 to 526 of the family's 1533-position model. The record is from RNAcentral.